RNAcentral lists this unclassified non-coding RNA (367 nucleotides) under soil metagenome. RNAcentral's name for it is "partial contains 5.8S ribosomal RNA, internal transcribed spacer 2, and large subunit ribosomal RNA". The stretch from base 1 to 122 matches the Rfam family "5.8S ribosomal RNA", at positions 35 to 154 of the family's 154-position model. The record is from RNAcentral.
GAUGAAGAACGCAGCGAAAUGCGAUACUUGGUGUGAAUUGCAGAAUCCCGUGAACCAUCGAGUUUUUGAACGCAAGUUGCGCCCGAAGCCGUUAGGCGGAGGGCACGCCUGCCUGGGUGUCACACAUCGUUGCCCCAAUGCCAAUCGCCUCACUUUGUAGGUAUUUGCUUGGGGUGAAUGUUGGCCUCCCGUGAGCUUUGUCUCACGGUUGGUUGAAAAUCGAGUGCAUGGUGUCGGGUGUACCAUGAUGGAUGGUGGUUGAGUGAUGAUGCUCGGUGACCCACAUGCGUCCCUUGGAUGCUCCCUAAGGAGACCUCAGGUCAGGCGGGGCUACCCGCUGAGUUUAAGCAUAUCAAUAAGCGGAGGA